This is a long non-coding RNA of Octopus sinensis (East Asian common octopus), 215 nucleotides long. RefSeq lists it as uncharacterized. The transcript has 3 exons. The record is from RefSeq and is a predicted model, not a curated record. Lineage: Eukaryota; Metazoa; Mollusca; Cephalopoda; Octopoda; Octopodidae.
AUCUGAAAGACAAGUGAAGAGGAGAACUAAGGGUAUUAGAGAGAUUUCAUUUGGAAAUUACAUGAAGAAUUAAGGAGAAAACUAAGGCUGAGAGAGAGAUUAGAAAGUUAUAUAUUGAAGAGUCAAUUUAAAUAAUUAGUUUACAAAAGUACAUAUUAGCAAUAAUGCAUAUUAAUAAUGAAUGAAUGAAAAGAUAGAAAAAAAUGAGAGAAUAU